Long non-coding RNA from Lathyrus oleraceus (garden pea), 1362 nucleotides. RefSeq lists it as uncharacterized. The transcript has 2 exons. NCBI's taxonomy places the organism in Eukaryota, Viridiplantae, Streptophyta, Magnoliopsida, Fabales, Fabaceae. The record is from RefSeq and is a predicted model, not a curated record.
UCGGUCAUGAAGGUUGUCUUUAUCUGGUCGAAUUCGAACAUCGGUAUCUGAUUAUACCCCGAAUAGUCAUCCAUGAAUGAGAGCAAUUGAUAUCCGACUAAAUUAUUUGCGAGCUUUUCGAUGUUCAGGAGCGGAUAAUAAUCCUUUGGGCAUGUUUUAUUAAGGUUGGUAUAAUCAAUGCACAUCCUCCACUUUCCUGGGGAUUUCCUCACUAACACAACAUUGGACAACCACUUUGUAUACUUGGAUUCAAAAAUGAACUUGGCAUCCAACAGGCCUUUAACUGUGCUAGUAAUGGCCUUAGCCUUCUCCGGGGAUCUGCUUCCUCCACCGCUGAGAAACAUGACGAGCGUCGGAUGCUACAUUUAACUGAUGGCACGCUACACUAGGAUCAAUGUUCAAUGUUGGGCAUCUAAUGUGGGGUUAUAUCAAAAAAGGUAGGUGUCAUCCUGAAGGCACUCAAUCAGGGCGGCUUUUACCUCCAAACGAAGCUCGACACCUAUUUUUACUAGCUUGGCGGGAUUGUCCCUGAGCUGGACGGCCUCGAACUCACCAUCUAGCACCAGCCUAACCUCAUCUUCAUGAGUGUCUAGGUCGGAUGCAUAUGGAAUCACUAGAUCUCCUUCAGUUUCUCCUUUUGAGGUCGUGGCUGAUGUCAGGAUGUUUUUAUGGAUGACUUAUUUGAUUCGCUUCACCUCGUCUACGUUGGUGCUGACUGUGGCCGACAUCCCUUCUGCAUCGUAAUAAGUGACCUUCAGGUGGACCGCGGAUGCCACUGCAUCUAGUAUCACCAUGAAGGAUCUCCCUAAUCUGCUUGCUGGAUGCGUAACAAUUCCAAUGUGUCUGCAUAGAGGAUGUUGCACGAACUUUCGUAUGAAAAAUCCUUUUAGGUUUCGAUCAACGAUAGUGAUUGCAAUGACCAAAUGCAGAUCGAAGUUUAGAAUCCCAUUGACCUUUUCACGAUCUAGAACUCCAGUAUCCAUCGUGAGCAGGAAGCAUCCUGGAGAAUGACAUGUGAUGGAUGAUGCGGUAUUGUGCAAAAUGUUGAUUAGUCAUAUCUGGUGAACGAUUGAUCUGGGAGACGAAUCCAGGACCUUCGGCAUAGCUAUCAGAGUUAUCGCAUAUACAUUUUCUAUUGUUGGUACCAAUCUGAUUUCAGACUGAGAUUGAUUUGAUGAUGGAAAUUCACGGAAAUCGGAAGUCGAUUCCGACAGACUGCGUCAUUGUUCUGUACUAGAAUCAGAAAUAGUUGAAGUAGAUGAGGAGGAAUUCUGAACUGGUGGUUGAUAUCCAAGAUUAACACUUCAAAUUGAGUGUAUUGAAAAAUAAAGAUCAAUUAAUAUAUUUUGCCUUUUGCUUGAA